Molecule: transfer RNA, 67 nt
Filed under: Ganisa cyanogrisea
Lineage: Eukaryota; Metazoa; Arthropoda; Insecta; Lepidoptera; Eupterotidae
Description: tRNA-Met
Source: RNAcentral
UUAAAAAUAAGCUAAUGGAAGCUUUUGGGUUUAUACCUCAACUAUAAAGGAAAUCCUUUUUUUUAAA